GGAUGCGAUCAUACCAGCACUAAU
Molecule: non-coding RNA, 24 nt
Filed under: Arabidopsis thaliana (thale cress)
Lineage: Eukaryota; Viridiplantae; Streptophyta; Magnoliopsida; Brassicales; Brassicaceae
Also listed under: 1 other name
Source: RNAcentral